AUUUAAUCCAUUUGUUGAAGCCCUAACUUCCAGUGUAUUUGGAGAUAGGGCUUUUAAGUAGGUUAUUAAGCUUAAAGAAUGUUAUAAGGGUGGAGCCCUAACCAACAGGACCGGUGUCUUUAUAAAAAGAGGAAGAAGCACCAAAUAUCUUUCUGUGUGUGUGUGUGCACACAGAGAAACACCACGCAAGAACACAGAAAGAAGUUGCUAUCUGUAAGCCAAGGAGAGAAGCCUCACCAGAAACCAACUCUGCUGGCAUCAUGAUCUUGGAAUUCCAGCAUCCAGAACUGAAGAAGGAGUCCUUCUGAGUAGCCACCACAGCUACAAACAUUCUGGGUCACACCUAAAGCCAGCACAAUUCUGAGUCUCACCCAAAGGCCACAAUUUCAGUUAGCAUCACUGGAGAAAAGCUGAGAAUGGGAAAGAAGAAAGACAUUUCAGUAAAGUAUCUUACAUGGUGAAUAUUGUAUAAAUUAAUUGCUUUCAAGACAUUUUGUUCUUAUGAUAUCUUAUACAAUUUCAUUUCUUUCUUCUAGAACAAGCACCCAUGUCUUUGUGUUGUUGAUUUAAUAUUAUUUUACUGUGUUUUAUAUAAAAAUGUAGGCAUUGAAUCAAAUAACAAUUUGUUUCAAAUUCCAAACUGUGUAUUAAAUAUUUUACAGGUGUUAUUUUCCUUAAUCUCCA
Molecule: long non-coding RNA, 684 nt
Filed under: Homo sapiens (human)
Lineage: Eukaryota; Metazoa; Chordata; Mammalia; Primates; Hominidae
Description: HSALNT0078125
Source: RNAcentral